AUGCCUAUACCGCUACUCCAGAUGGUUGUUGUUGUGGAUAAGGUUGCUGAGGUUGGUGUGGCUGCAGAGGGAAUGGUUGUUAGGGUUGCUGGGGAAUUAUCUGUUCUGCUUGUUCUGGGAAUGCUUGUUGGGGUUGGGGAAAUGGUUGUUGUGGUUGCUGGGGGAACGAUUGUUGUGGUUGCAGAGCGAAUGGUUGUUGGAGUUGCUGGGGGAAUGGUUGUUGAGGCUGGGGAAAUGGUUGUUGUGGUUGCAAGGGGAAUUGUUGUUGGGGCUGGGGAAAAGAUUGUUGUGGUUGUUUGGGUUGCUGGGGGAAUGGUUGUUGUGGUUGGAGGGGGGUUGGUCGUUGGGGUUGAGGAAAUGGUUGUUGUGGUUGAUGCGGGGAAUAUUGUUGGGGUAUGGGAAAUGCUUGCUGUGGAUAUGGUUGCUGCGGAUAUGAUUGUUCUUCCGGAAAUUGUUGUUGUGGUGAUUGCAACUCUUGGUCGCUAG
RNAcentral lists this ribosomal RNA (486 nucleotides) under Triticum aestivum (bread wheat). RNAcentral describes it as "partial small subunit ribosomal RNA". The record is from RNAcentral. Lineage: Eukaryota; Viridiplantae; Streptophyta; Magnoliopsida; Poales; Poaceae.